CAAGCAUCAGCUGUUUAGCGCAGUUUGUAAUUAAAUGCCAAAAGUAAAGAAGUGUGAAGUUUAUUGACUAUAGUUUAAAUUCGUAAAAUUAAAGGAUAGUUUUCCUAUUACCUAUUAAUUGUAGUGUAUAUAAAUUAUUUAGAAUUUACACAUUUUUGGAAACCAAUUUAUAGAGUUGUGAGUGUGUUUGGUGCGAAUUCGUUUGGUAAUUCAUUCACUCGACGCACGAGUAAAUCACGGCUGGAAUUGAAUAACUAGUUGCGCUUUUUCCUCUGCCAAAUAUAACAAACGAUAUCAUUGUGAGCAUUGGAAUAAUCAUGAGAAGUAUUUAUAAAUCAGAGGUACACAGGUAGAACGCUCUGAAAACAUAUCCAAUGAAAACAUUUGAACAAAAUUCCCUCUCCUAUCCGUUGUUUACUAUUAGAAUUGCAAUGGUGUCUCCAACCCCAUAGGGGUGGGUUGUAUGAGUUCACCCCUUUUAGAUGCGAGAAAUUCUCUCUCGUUUUGAGUUGUAUCAUUGUUUUAAAAAACAUUUAAAAACAUUUGGGUUUGCUAUUAUUUUUUCUGGAAGCAGCAUACUUUUAAUUUCCUCAGCUAAAAUGUAUGUAAAUCGUUUUGUAGCUGAAUUGAAAUCGCUAGAUUAUAGGUUCUUAACUUUUUUAUGCUUACGUGCGAUUAUUGUGGCAGGUUAAUGAUUAAGAUUUUGGGAGAAUAAGUACUAAGGGGUCGUAAAAUCUACAAGUAAAUAAUAAGAUGAGCGUGUUGUUAUAAAAAUUGUUUACCUCUAAAAUACAGAAUAGCUUUGAAAAGUUCUUAAUGUAUGGGACUUCCAAAGUAGUCAGUCUCUUCUAAAUAAAUUACCAUAUAGCGAUUAGAAUUUACCAGAGUGAUUUGCAAAUAUGACCACUUUUAUCCAAACCUCAUCAAUACUUAGUGCACAAGCUGAUGACAUAUUUUAUAUUAACCCGUUGACUUAAAGACUGUGAUUUAAAAAAGUUAAAAGUUAUCGAAGGAUCGAUAAUUGGAGUACAUUAGGUCCCGAAACUUCGUAUUUUUAUUUCAAACUUACUCCAAACAAGAUGUAACAGACCAAAUGGUCGUAAUCCCUAUUUCUAUCUUAAUUGGGUCUAUAACAUUUAAAUGUAACGGUUUUACUGAAAGAUAUUCCUUGAUACAUGCCUUACUCGUUCGCCAUUUCACCUCAAGCAUUGUUUUUUCUGGAUGUGAGAUAGACUGCAAAAUUAAAUAUUAUUCACAAAUCCAUCUCCCGCUUUUAUAUAAUAUUAUAAUCCACACCGCAUGAAACUGAACUUUAUAGGGAUGAGGUCUUAACUGUUAAACUUAAGCAUUCGUAAAGUAUUCGUGCGCUCAUUUGCACAUUGCCAUGGGGAUGUGGAAACGAAGGGAAUUUGAGUACGAACGAGAGUGCGAUUAUUGCGCAAAUCGGAGUCAAUCUCAUUUGAAGUUACGAUACUGCGGUAUUGGAUUCGCGAAACGAAGACAUCUGAGUUGAUGUAGAACCGGGAACGCGUACGGAUGUACAAAUGCAACUACGCGUUGCAGUCUAAAGCUAACAGCAAGAGGAUAAUAAAUAAUAACCAUAAUCAUAAUAAACAUAGUAAAAAGCAGUAAUGCGCGUUCUAGGUACAUGUCGUCCCAUGUCGGUGUAGAUAAAGUGCUUAUUAGUUAGUUAGUUGAAUGAAAAAUGCGAAGGGAUGGUACAAAUAACGCAUAAUAUGAAAUGUAAGCAUGAAAAGUGAAAAGUAAGUGAAAGAGUAUAAUAAAUAACUUAAAACAUCUACUAGCAAAGCCUAGUCACCGGAAGCACAGUAUAUUUAGAGGGAAUAUAGAUAAAUACAAAUAUAUUAUUCAAAAGGUGUAGUGACCUAUAAAAUUAUGUGGAAAAAUAGUGGUAUGGUAUAAAAAUUGUCAGAAACGAAAGGACGUGCAAUACAAUUUUCUACCAUACACAUGGAAAUUCGUUUGAAGAGACAGGUACCUUUGUGGUGGAACUUAGUUUAUACCUUUUCGAAUACAAAAGUAAACUCGAUAAGUGGUAGGCAAAAUUGUAAGCAAAUCCAGAAGUGCAAAACAAGUUUAGCGAAACGGCUAUAAAGUGAAAGCAACAAGAGUAGGAAUUGUGCUGCAACAGCCGCGGCAGCAUUGCUCUUUAAUUAAGACUGGCAAUCUUGGUCGCAUACUCGCGGACUUGCCAAACAAAUAUUUUCACUUCAUCUCAACAGACGCAAAAGCACACACAUUAGUGUAAACUUUUAUCAACAUAUAUGCGCACUUAGGGCAAGUGGAGUGUAUCAGCUUCUAGGCGCAGCAUACGCUAAAGCAGGAGGCAAGAAUAACAAACAUUGCAAGCGUUGAAGAGACACGGCGUAAAGCAGUGGCAAUAUUUGCAGAAUCCAAGCUGAAAAACGUUUCCGCUAGCUGUUGGUGGAAUAGCCGACUAGAGACGACAGCUUAUUGGCAUAGUUUAAAGCAUCUACAGGCGGCUGAGGCAGUCGUUUGCCAAGUAGGCAUUGACUUUGCGAGACAGCAAACCUUGCGGCUUUUAUGCGUACGUGAUACCGUUACACUGCUGCCUAACUAAAUGCCGUAUAGUUGAAGGAUUUUUAGUGCAGAAUAAACAUACACAUUCACACAUUUGACAGUGACUGUUGUGUAGUCGCUAGUCGACGUUGUACUAAGCCAUAUACUGCACUGCAUUGUACAAAUACACCCACUUUCAUAUACAUAUAAACUUACAAACAUAUAAUACGGUAUAUGUGUGUAAAUACAGUUUAAAAUCUGAUGUGUUUCGGUUGCUUGUUUCACCAAACAAAUUGUGUUUGUGUGUGUGUGUAUGGGAAAGAAUCCCAACACUAUCGACCCCGCUUUGAACUACCAUCUAUAGACGCUGUGUAGCCAACAAGGUCCCGUGGCGAGCCGUUCUUCGACAGUUGCCAAUUAGCCGGUGCCGGUGCAAGCGCAUAAAGUUGUGGUGAAACUGGAAAGUUGUUCGGCCUUCUUUAUAACGCAUUUACGAAUUUUCAAAUUGUGUAAAUUAGUUUUGAAGUAAGUUAAUUCUGAAAUUGCUGUCUGUUGCUUAUCGAACACGUAGAAAAGUGUGUGAAAUAAAGAAAAAAUUAAAAUACAUGAAUAAAUAAAAACGGUGUUCAACCAAAUGAAACGAGCCAGAUAAACGGUAUAAACUGCAACGCAUUCAAUAUCGUAGCAUACGCACGUCUGCAAUAUACCGUUAUAGCCGUCGCAAACCACAAUUCGGUCGGUGGCUGACCUACUGCGUUCGCCAGCACCCAAACAACCACUACAACAAAUAAACAAGAGCAACAUAAUCGACCGAUAGCGAGAACUCGUUCAACAACGCCUGACAUCAUCCACCGCAUCGUACUCGACGUCCACAUCGUCGUCUCAAGAUGACCACAGAUUUGUUGUUCCCGAAAAUUUCGGAUUGCUCAUACGUCUCGUGUUACUGCGAGGAGAAUGUUUGGAAACUUUGUGAACAAGUGAAGAAAACACGUAUCGAUGAACUUUCCAAGUGCUACGCGGUGUUCGUGUCAAAUGAGGGGCGCACGGUGCCCCUGUGGCGCCAAAAAGCAGGACGUGGCGAUGAUCAGGUCGUGAUAUGGGACUACCACGUUUUCUUCAUGCACAAUCCAUCGCCGAAUCGCUGUUUGGUGUUUGACUUGGAUACGACGCUACCUUUUCCUACAUAUUUCCAUAAGUACGUAACAGAAACGUUUCGCUCGGAUCUUGCGCUGAGACCAGAACAUCACAGGUACUUCAGAGUUAUACCCGCAGAAACAUAUCUAAGUGAAUUCUCUUCUGACCGGCGCCACAUGCGAAGGCCAGAUGGCAGUUGGAUAAAGCCACCGCCGUCAUACCCGCCCAUACAGUCAAGCAGCAAUGCGCAUAGUUUGGGCGACUUUAUCUGCAUGAAUGCGGGCAAAGGGCCCGGCACCGUGUACAGCCUCUCGGAAUUCGUGCAAAAUUUCUACAAGGCGCCGAAUGUGGUGGCGCAGCAGAAUAACAAAUAAUAUCAACAGUUCUGAGCAGCUAUCAUUGAAGUACCAGUCAAGUUAACGAGCCGACAGUAGCGCCAAAAUGCCGCAUGUGCACUUGCAGUAGAGAAAGAGAAAACGAAAUAGUUGCAACUGGACAAGAUGUUUACGCUUAGAUGAAUUAUUUAAUAGCAAUAGGGAGUAUAUUUAAUGUCUGAGUGUUCGGUGCCAUCAAUAUCAACGUAAAGGUCAAAUAAAUAACAAUACAGCAGCAGGAUAUGCCAAUAAAUAGGAGAGCAGAAUUGAGGACAACAUGAAUAAGUUAUAGCUAGUUUCAGAAGCCUGCAAAACCGGCCAUCAAGCUAACCAUAUUAUCUUCAGCAGAAAUUGCCUUCAAUGCCGCACUCAAAUGCAAAAAACGCAUGCUUGCACUCGGCGCAUGAAUGCCGUGUAGGCCAUCAAUGAGCAGCUGAAAAUGUCACUUAAUUUGCAUAUAACACAAAGUCACCUUAGCUUUACCCAGGCAUAGCUGUUAAGCUUUAACGACUGCAGGAUUCACCAACAAGCGUCGAUGAUAUUUCUAUUAUUCGCAGAGCAACAUAAGCAGUCCUACCGCCAGUCCCUCGCAAAUCGUACUAGAAUGCUUUGCCAGCAUUCCGUAACAAAUACUUUGCAAGUAUGCGCUAUGCCGAGGAAUAUUUUCAACUUUUAUGCAUGCCAAUCUAUUUGCUGUUGUUGUUGGUUGGUCAUAUUUAUAACCAACCAUCCUUGCUGACAUUGGCUCUAAUGUACGAAGUAGAAUUUGAUGGAUUCAUUGGCUUUAAUGGCCGCUGUUGAUGGCUUCAUGCUUGAUUGAAUAACCGACUGUUGACCGACGGAUGGUUUCGGGCACCAUAUGCAUCGGCAUCAACAACAAUAUUAGCUAGACGUCUGCCGGAAUAUAUGAUGAUGCUAUUGGCAUGUGUCGACGUUUUUGACACAUUGGGAGGAAGGGUAUUUGCAUUUCAUGGCAUAAUUAUGGUCAGAGGCAAUAGGUUAGAAUGAAAAGAACUUUGUAAUCAAAGAUAACACAACAUAAACUAUUAAAUAUUAAAUUAAAGUUUAAAUCAGAAAACAGAUAAAAAAUUACUAAUACAAAAUUAGUAAUAAAUAAAUGAACUAUUACAUCUACAAUAAAUAUCUGCUUAUAUAACUAAAAAAGACGUAAUAAUAUUGUAAUUAUAAUGAUAACGUAUUUUUGUAUUCAGAAGCGUGCUUAGAACCCAACAAAACAUAAAACAAUAUACUUAACUGAGGAACAAAAAUAUACUAAGGUUUAUAAUUCAGCGUUAAAAAUUCGAAGUAAAUAUAAAAAAAAAAAAAAUUUGAUAAAUAUUAGCAAGUCACUAUGCAAUAUGCAUUUGGCUAAAUUUUACUCCAGUUUAUUAUAACCUAAUCCAAAUUUUUUAAAUCACACUAAUAAAAUGACUGCAAUAACUGGGUUAUUUCUGAGGUACUGCUAAUUCAAUGUUACAGCAAACAGCCUGAAAAUGUUUCCUAGUUUUGUAUGUCGUGUGUCUGCGUUGAUAACUUUGGGCAAGGCAUAGCACUAUUAUAGUCUUUUGAAAAAACUUGCAUCCGAGUUCAUAAUUUCUUAAUUGUCGGUGAACGCCCAUAUGACAUGUAAAUACGUAAGUAGCAAAAGAAAAAUAUCUGAAUUUGUUCAUACUUUGAUGAAAAAAUUUCAAUUGCGAAAAGAAAGUUAAGCUUCAAUUGUAAAAUUCAGACUUUAAAUCCUAAAUUAAUGUUAAAGUUGCUUAAGUCGAAUAAGCUUUUCAUUUUAUGGGAAACUGAAAUAUUAUUAACACCUAAUUUCUUUCUAUUUAUGUCAUUUCUAAGAUAAUAGGUACGGUUUUCAUAUACGAAUUAAUUGGUUAGAAUACAUACCUUAAAUCUAUUUCCUUUAUUCUAAGUUAACUUAAGCCGCUUUAAAACAUUAGAAAAUGUAUAAAUUAUCGAUCAGCGACCGAAAAUAAUGAUUAUGGUUGCGAUUCUUAAAUGAAAAAAUCAAUUACUUAUAAUCGAAAUACAAACAACAAAAACACAGAUAAUGUCACGUUAAUCCAUUUUCGACGAUCUUAGCAUUUCGGUGAUGAUUGUUUAAUUUCGGAUUUUUAUAAUUUCCUUCACCCAUAAUGAUUAAUUUUAAUUAUUUUAGUAGUAGUAAUAGUCAUUAUUUUUGAGUACAAAAACAAAAAUAUAUAAAAAUCAUAAAUAAUCAUUAUCUGUGAAUUUUAACUCAUUUUUAUACUCUCGCAACAUGUUGCUACAGAGUAUAAUAGUUUUGUUCACCUAACGGUUGUUUGUAUCACCUAAAACUAAUUGAAUUAAAUAUAGAGUUAUAUACAUAUAUAAAUGAUCGGGAUGAAGAGACGAGUUGAAAUCCGGGUGACUGUCUGUCCGUCCGUCUGUGCAAACUGUAACUUGAGUAAAAAUUGAGAAAUCUUUAUGAAACUUGGUAGACAUGUUUCUUGGUACCGUGAGACGGUUGGUAUUGCAGAUGGGCGUAAUCGGAUGACUGCCAUGUCCACAAAACGCCAUUAAUCAAAAACAAAUAAAUUGUCAUAACUAAGCUCCACAAUAAGAUACAAGCUGGUAUUUGGCACACAGGAUCGCAUUAAGGAGGGGCAUCUGCGGUUAAAAUUUUUUUUAAAAAGUGGGCGCAGUUCCGCACCUAAUAGGUUUAAUGUGCACAUCUCCUAAACUGCUAAAGCUAAAAUAACAUAAUUCAUUGGGAACAAAUUCUUUGAGCACCUCUGUCUACGGUGUGAAAAUGGGUGAAAUCGGGUGACAACCCCGCCCACUCCCCAUGUAAUGGUACUGUUUAAAACUACUAAAAGCACGAUAAAUCAAGCACUAAACACGCCAGAGUCAUUAAAUUUUAACACAGGGAUCGUAUGAUCUGACUUUAUAGGAGCCGUGUUCGAAAUUAGACAAUGGGCUUUGCAACGCCCAUAUUUAGGUGAAAACCCAUAUCCUAGGAUCUGCUUAACCGAUUUCAACCAAAUUCGGUACAUAAUAUUCUUCUCAUAUUUCCAUGUUAUAGUGCGAAAAAGAGCGAAAUCGGAUUACAACUACUCCUCUCUCCCCUAUAACACCAUUUUAAAUUUCAUCUGAAUUUUUCACUUUCCAGUAUAAAAUAUAUAAAAAUCAAGCAACAAUGAUUUAAUCGAGGUAAAACUUUGCGUGAAUAAUACGUUUAAAGUAUGCCACCUUGUGACCAAAAACUGUCUAAAUCGAACCAAAACUAUUCACGCCCCUAGGUACUGAAUAUGUGGACCCCAGUGCCUAUAGUUGACCUUCUACCGAAAAUAUCGGUCAAUCCGCAAAGAAAUCUCAAACGAGUAUACCAUUUGACUUUGCGAGAGUAAAAAAGGUUCGGUUACAUUCGAACUUAGCCCUUCCUUACUUGUUAGAUCACAGGUUUCUUAUGAAGAUUUUUUGCUAACUUUGUUCCAUGACCAUUUAGAACAAAUCUCAUGGAUCAAAUUUAUGUUAUGGUAUCGCCACGCCCCUUUUGCACCCAUCUGAAAAUUAAAAAAUAUAAUAUCAAGCGUAAUCUCACACACAGGAUAUAUGCCUUGGUUUCUUUGACUAUUGCAAAUUUAAUCGUUAUCGGAUCCAAAACAUAAAAAAAAAUCAUUUCUGUCAGUAAAUACGGGUGCAGCUGCAGCGAGUUUAUCGAAAUAAUAAUUUCUUACCAAGUGUUUGUUAAUCGCAAAAGAGAAAAAGAAGAUAUACUUUUGUUCUAAAAAUGCAUUCAACGAAGUUAGCAAAACACCCCAUAAGAAACAUGUGAUCAAAAGUGUGUUUUAUUUUGAGCGAAAAAAGGGAUGAAAUAAUUAUUAUUUGUGAUUUUUACAUUCAAAAAUAAUGAUUACUUACGAUUUAUUGUGAUAUUAUUCAAAAUUAAUCAUUAUUGGUGAAGAAAAUCGUAAAGCUCAAUAUGUAAUCAUUAUUACGUGAUUUUUAAAAUAAAAUUAUAAUGAUUAGCUCUCUGUUAUCGAUAUAUAUGUAUGUAUCGAAAUGCUUAAAACACUUUGGUAUUUUAAUAUUCCACCCAAUAUCUAAGGAUAAUUAACUUGUUGGAAUAAAAAAAAACACAAUAAUUAAAGUAAUAACUUAAAAAAUUAAUUAAAUGAAAACAAAUUACAAUUUGAAUUACAAUGCGUUGUGAUGAGUCUUCUAUACAAAAAGCUAAGUUUCGCAAAUCAAUUGCCCUUGAAAGUUACACUAGUUAAUAAGUUUAUAUUCUACAUAAAAUUUAUUAUAAUAAUUAAUACAUUAAAUUAUCUAAAUUGUUUGUCAUCAGUUAUACUCAAAUAUAUAUAGUAAUGUUUUUGAAACGAUUUUUAAAUAUGUACACUUUUUAUACUUAACUAAAUUAGAAAUAUGAAUAUAAUAGUUUGUAUAUUAGUCGUCCAACCUAUCCGCACCAACAAAUAAUAAUCGACUUCACAUAAUAUAACGUUUGUUUCAAAGUGCUAAAUAACGAAGUGUAUCGAAGCGAUCGUUGUGGUAUUUUUCAGCAAUCAAAAUUUUACAAAAUUAUACCAAAUUAUAAAAUAUUUUUCAGAAAUUUAGUAAUCUCUCUGCAGUCUUUGAGGCUAAUGCUAAUGAAAACACAUUUAAUUUAGGUAAGCUUAAUAUAUAAUAUAUUAAGAUCUAAGAGUUAUUUUUUUUAAUAAGUAUAACUCAAGUCUAACCAGUUUCUUCCAGAAAGUUGUCUAAUAAGAAGUUCUGUUGUACGACUUAAGUUGUGUAAAGGUAAAAUUAAUUAUUUUUCCACUUGGAUUUACACGAAGACUGGAAAUUAAGUUGUAGUAUAGUUUUACAUAACGGCCUUCAUGUUAGCACGACAUCAUUAGUCUUCACUUGCUUGUUUCUUUUUCUUCUUUCUUGUUAAAUAAAAUACACCUUAUAGUAUAGUGUUUUUCUUUUUGAAUUUCUAAGCUGAUUAUUACUUCCAAUGGAAAAAAUAUACUUAAAUUUUCAGCUUAAUUAUGACUCUCUAUUUAUUAUUCGUUUAUAGUUCUCAGCCAAAUGUAGAUUUUUUACAAAUUCAAAGGCUUGAAAUAGCAUGCAGCAGCUGCAACGGUUGAUGUAUUUGAUUUUAGCCAAAAUUAUAUUUCAUUACUAGUAGCCUUUUGAACUGUUUAAAAAGCAAUGUUGCCAAAAUGCUUAAAAAAAUAAUUUUUCAAAAAAAAAAAAUAAAAUAAAUAAACAACGGCCCAAAAACACAAGUUAACAUUAUUUCUACUACUAACUACUUACAUAUUAUAUGUAUACUACGACUACUAUUUAUUAUUAUCGUACUAUUUUUAUGAAUGCAAUCUAUUGAGAUAAUGCAUUUUAUUGCAACUUAAUAUAAGUGAACUUUUCAUUAAAAUUUAUAAAAUACAUAUACACAUGCAAUAGAGGCAAAUGCAAGAAUCUAAGAAUAAAUGAAAUGAAGAGCACCACACUUUUCACAAUAAAUUAUACAUAUUAAAUAUGUCUAAACUAUAGAAAAUAAAUGUAAAGGAUAAACCAACACUGAAAACAUAUGCGAUAAAGGUAAAUAAAAUCCAUUAAGUAUAUUAUAUACAACAAAAACAAACAAACAACAAAAAAGAAACACGCAAAUAACUGUGUUUGCUUAUCUAUGCAAAAGCGGGGCGAAGUUAUUAUAUAUAUACAUACAUACAUAUGUAAAAAGGAAUAUUUUCACUGUGCAAGUCUUAAAGUUAAACCAUAAUUUUUAAAACACAACAAAAAUAUAUUAUAUACAUACAUGCUAAUAUUAUAAGCGUAAAGUAUUUAAACACAUCUACUAUAUACUUAUAUUAUACUAUUCGUAAAUUAAGCGGUUGGUGAAUUUAUCAAUUAUAUUUGAACUCAAUUGAAAGCAGCUAUAAUAUUAUAUAUAUUAUAUGUACAUACUUGUCCAUAUGUGGAGUAAAAUAUAUAUACACAUGUGCUAGUAAAUGCAUACAAAGCUAUUACAAUGAUGAUAUUUAUACAAACAUUUAACGGUAUAACUAAAUCUUUACAUCUCGAUGGUGUUUCUUAUAAACUUUUGACUCUCUACACACACCCUUAGGUCACUUAUACGUUAAAUUGUAACUCAGAUCGACACCCACAACAACAAUAACCACAACUAUAGCCAAAAAUAUAGUAAAUUCUAAGCCAUUCACAUAAAUUGCUGUCUUAAUCCAGGUACUUAAAGUUCUGUAUUUUUAAACUCUAUCACAACCCUUUAACCAUAUGCUAUAAUAAAAAUUACAAUUUAAAAAUAACCGGCUUAAAUUUAAAAACAUACAAUUUAUGCAUAUUUAUGCAUAUUAUAUAUACAAAAUGAUAUUUAAUGAACAAAUAGUCAAGUGAAAAAUAUAUGUACUUCAGUUAAAAGUGAAAAUUCCUUCUAAGGUUGUACAUAGCAGAGAAAGGUGAUAUAUGUUGGCGUUUUCUGUGUUUUAUUUUUUAUUUCUAAAUAACAGCUUUUUUAUACAAAUAUGUUUUCAUAAAUUUCAAUAAUCGGACGACGAAGAAAAAUAUAAAUUUGUUGUACCAAACUUGAUUUAAACAUUACCGUAAUGGAGAAAAGGUAAUUGAAUUAUAGUUGAAUUUUUCUGCUUAUCUUUAGAACUCUUGUUACAUUCGCACUUUUGCUGCAAUAAUCCAUCAAAAGCUUUCAAAGCGAGGAACAUGACUUAAACAAAAAAUGAGCGCAAAACUCGCAGGAUCUAGAGAUUAUGACAGUUACGUCUUGUACAUUUGACAUUCAAAUAUAUUAGUUCGAGACGUCAUGAAUAAAAUUAAGUUUGACAAGUGUGGCGAGCAAAAUUUUUUUAUCGCUCGCUCUCAUUGCAAGAAAAAAGUAGCUGGUUUGUUGGUAUGUCUUAUAGAAUAAGCACUUUAAGGUCACAUUGCCUAUUAAACUCAACCCACUUUUAUUAUAUGUUCGCUGACUUCCGUAAAAACAGAAACCUUUUACCCGCAAAAUAUAUGUGAAAUUUCUUUGUAUGGCGACUGCUACACGUUUAAUAUUAUAUAUUAUAUAUUGACUGCGAUCCAGGAUCCCGAUAUUUAUUGAAUGUUUAGUAUGCAAUAUUGAUGAUAUAUUAUAUUUAAAAUAUAAAAAUGUUAAAUAAAUAUUUAGUAAAUUUUUUAUCUAAUUUCGAUAUACAACGGAACAAAGCAGUAAAAAAAAAAGGAAAAUCGUACAAUUGUUAUUAAAAAUAUAUUACUUAUCUAUAUUUAUAUACAAAUUUUAGCAUUUUCAAAGAUCUGGUGAAUUCUUCUGGCUAGCAAUUUUUGCUCCAAUGUUUUUAUUGAAUUCUUUUCUUCAAAACCAUAGGCACUUUUCUCAAGUUUUCUUGAGACAUUUUGUCAAAAACGAACGAAAAAUUAAACAAAAAAUAAAGCUAAACCAUUUCAUUCCAUUUUUUUUCAAAAACAUGAGUUAUUUCGAAAAAAUACUGGCGCGAUAAAUAUUGAAUGUAUAGCAUUUACUCGCGAUCCGUCAAUUCAAAUUGAACGUGUGAUAGGCGCCUAUAUGACCUACAAUUCAGGAGUAUGAAUGAUAUUACGAUUAACUAUACUUUAAAAAUCAUUUUGAGAAUUUUCUUUAUAAUAAAAAAAUAUUCUAAUAAACAAAUAAUAAUGUGUGGUAAAGUAUGUUUCAAGUCACCAAAAUAAUCAGCAAACUAAAAUAAGAAUAUACCUAUACUCGUUUACGGUAUUUACUCAAAUGACAAUGGAAAUUUGGAAUGGAAGCGUUAAUUGAGAAUUGUUUAAGUAUUCUAAGGUCAAAGCAUUUAAAAGGUGUCGAAUUAUGCAGUCGAAAAGCUUUGACGUCAUUCUGCAUUAACGCUUUGCACCUUGUAACGUAAAACGGAACCUUUUGAACUUUUGCUCCACAAAAAUUACGGUUUACAACUCGAGUUCAUCAAUGUUGAAAUUGGAUGUCGGCAUUAUCAACAACAACGUGGUCGUUCAAAUAAUUUCAAGUUGUGUUGUUAGAGCCCUUAAAUUUUAAUGGUUUUAUUGCUUGCAACCCUGAGCUAGUGCCGUUGUCGACAAUGUUGAAUGUUGACAGCUAGCAGUUGUGGCAACGGAAGUUGUUUUCGAUGUGUUUGUUUUUAUAUCAAAUUUUUUUCAGUUAUUUGAGCCAAUUUUUAAUCAACAAUUUUAUACAAAUAUAUCAAAAAACAAAUUAUUGAUUCCUUUAGAACUUCCUAGCACCAAGUGAGAAAUUUAAUGGCUUUUUACUUGUAACAAUAUUUUUAUUGCAGAUGGAAAAGUUAAUAUAGUUUUAUAAGGAAGCACUUUUUGGUAUAUGAGAUGAAGUGACUUUAAAUAAAUGUGGGAGAGAAACAACUGUAGGUUUCACAUUGAAAUUAUGUGCAAUUACCGGGAUCCUUGCUGAUGCCUGUUAUCAAAAAUGAAAAGGGAAUAACUUCGUUCGACGUGCGCAACCUCAAAUACCUAUUUAUGUAGUUGCCUAGAAAUUCUUAAAUAUUUAUAGGGUUUGCAAAGUUUCAAAUUUAUAUUAUAUGUAUGUAGGCCAAAAUUGUAUUUAUGUAAAUGAACUGUGAACCUAAAGCUAAAGUUCUGUAUGUAAAACAUUUGGCAGUAUUGUAAUUCCUAAUAUCAAAAAUUAGUUUAAUUGAAUGCGUAGUUUUUUCUUUAAUAUUAAACAUUACCCUGUUGUCAGGUUUUUACAGUCGAGAACCAUGGACUGGAAUAUGGAUGGAAAUUCAAGAAUAUCGAGAAGUGGAUUUCAGCUUUCGACUACUGUGUAUGUUCUUUUUGUGAAAGUUUUCGCCCUGAAAUCGACGAGUAUUCAAUUAACAUAUUUCAAUCUGUUUUGUAUUUCCACUUGUAAUUCGGCUCCAUAUUCAAUAUUGUGAACAUUUCUUCCACAAUCAAAUUCAAAAAUUUUGAAUAAUAUUUCUUUGCUUUUCAUUUCAAUAUGAAUAUAGUGGGAAAUCGGGAAUACCUCUCAAAAAUGGAAAAUAAUUUAUGAUUUUAAUAAAUGCUUAUACAUCAUCACAGCAUCACUUUAAAUUAUUACCUCUCUACGGUUACUGAGACGAGUAAAGUUGAAUUCCUCUGAAAUUUCAGAUCAACUAACUCUUAAGAAAUGAAGAUUUGAUAGAUAAAACUGAAAAUUUUUAAACGAAAAAUCAAAACAAUUAAAUUUAUUGGUCACAAAAAAGUUAAUAAAUAUUAAAAUGGACAUUGCUUUUGGUUUAUAUUACAAUGACAGAAAUGUUGGGGCCAAAAUUGAUGUGCUGCACGUACGAUAAAGCCUUCUUGGUCACUCAAUGCUGAUGCCUAACAACAAGUUAACCAAAGUUUUAUUGGCAAUUAAAUGGGUUUUAAAUAAUGUUUGUUGCAGAUUCAUAACUUGUUUUCAUUUAAAUGAGGAAUCAUGUUGGUUUUUACUAAAUGAGAUGAAGGAACAUUACCAUUUCCUAGCUGAUUUAAGAAUGUAGUUAAAAAUUUUAACUUUGGGCUGGCCAAGACUACGAUAUCUACAGUGGUUAAGGAGUUUUUAGACAUUAUGAACACCGUAUUAGUGCGCAGUGUAUAAUACCUAAAUAACCCAGAGGAGCAUAACGCUUCAAAUAUUUAUCCUUACUCAAAAAGUAUAGUAGAUUGUAUCGACUCUUCCACACUUCUCUUUCAAACACUUCCCACGAUUAUUUUAUUUUUACUGUUUCCAUUUUUAAUAAAUAACUGAUUAACAUAGUUUAAAAUUAUUGAAAUAAAAUAGUUUUUUACACCCUUUUUCUAUUAAUAUUUCUUUUAUAGAAAGGCAGUAAUUUUUAACUACAACUGUUUGAUAGCAGUUGAAAUUUUAAGAUACUCUAGUCAACCCAACUGGCAGAGAGUUGAGAAUCGAGAUACCACAAAAAAGUUGAAGUUUGGCAAUACUUCAACCGUUGUUUUUUCAAAUUCAAAGAAUUUCAAAACUGUAAUAGGGGCUAAACAUGUAAAAUAGCCAAAAAUGCGCUAUUUUUAAUAAAAAUUUUAGCAACAAUAAUGACAUAAAUACAAUUUAAAUAUAGCAUUUAUACUUCAAAUAAAAAAAGAUGUGUUAAAUAAUGUUGUAGCUGUGCUUAAUUUAAAAUAAGUAUACAUGUAUGGUAUUACUCAAACAACAGCGAACACAAUAAAAUAAAAUAUGAAAGUCACACAGUUACUUGGAUGUUUACGUUGUGAAAUGGUUUCAAGCGCGUUAGUACUAUUUUCGAAAGGCAUUUAUUUUUAUGUAAAAGAAUCGUAUGUAAGCUCUUUACACAUAUAUAUAUACAUGUAUGUAUGUGAACUAUAUUAGUUUAAACAAUUUUUUCAAAAUAAUAAUAAAAUAUGGUAUAUAAAGAAUAUAAAAACAACAAUUAAGGCAAUGCAAAGUGGAUAAAAUAAAACAAAACGCAGCGAGAAGUUAAUAAAUCCGAAGCAAUUAAUUUAGAAUUAAAUAAUACUUAAAGGUUGCACCUUCAAGUACCCUUAAGCUGCAUACACACGCAGGUUAAGUCAGCAAAGCUGCACAAAAACAACAACACAACUAUUUAAAAUAAUCGCAUAAUCUACGGUCCGAAACCAAAUCACUUGCGAAUAGGAGUUGCAACUUGCAAGCAACAAACUUAAAACUCACACAUACAUACAUACAGGUCUAACACAAACACACAGCAAAGGAGUUCGACACCCGAAACUUUCACUAAAAACUCCAAUACAAUUCAAUCGGAAAAGUGAAACGUGGGUGUAUGCAUAUUGUCUGUAAUAUGCAACAACAACGCACAUAAAUAAGAUAAACACAUAAUAUUAUUAUCUAACUAUUGAAUAAGUAUUUUUUCCACAAUUUGUUACGCUUUCCCUCAAACUGCAUAAAUCGAAAUAAAUUUAUUAAAAAUUAUAAAAUAUAUGAAAA
Bactrocera oleae (olive fruit fly) is the source of this 14973-nucleotide non-coding RNA. The record is from RefSeq and is a predicted model, not a curated record. Lineage: Eukaryota; Metazoa; Arthropoda; Insecta; Diptera; Tephritidae.